This 1407-nucleotide long non-coding RNA is filed under the name Anser brachyrhynchus (Pink-footed goose). RNAcentral describes it as "lncRNA (ENSABRG00000008707.1)". The record is from RNAcentral. Lineage: Eukaryota; Metazoa; Chordata; Aves; Anseriformes; Anatidae.
AUGCUUGUUCUUGGAUACAUUUCUCCUCGUCCUGCCAUUUUUGGCACUGUGAGUGGGCUCAUAAAGAUGAUGGGGUUUAUGAUGUUCAUGAAUACCCAAGUUUUCACGAGAGUGGUUUCUAUUUCUUUCUGCCAAAUUUUAUUUUUCUGUUCACUCACGCCCCCUCCCAUCACCACCCUUUGGCACGUCAAAUUCAACUUCACGAGCGGUGCACGGGAAAAGCGAUGUAUUUACGGCUGGUUCUUUAUUUCAAUUAAUAAUUAUGAUAGACUACAGAAAAAUCAUACAUUUGGGGAAAGGGGAAAAAGGAAAACAGGAGCAGGGAAAAGGAGGUUCUACUGCUGCAGUGGAAAACAACGCAUUUAUCUCAUGUAUUGUGGGCCACGCCACUUACAAUGUUGGAAAUGAACAACCUGAAUGCUGCAGAUGAAGAAUAGCAAAGCAUCUGCAUUAACAGUAGUUUUUUGCAAAAGAGAGUUACUCAGAAGAGCAAGUAACACCUACUGUGAUAGCCCUGCUGACUACUGGAUAUAUCAUGUCCUCUCCAGACUGAAGUGGAACUGUGGAAUGGAUUUCUGUAAUGACAGGCUGAAUUCUGGCUCUCAGAGAGUAACUGUUUUACUUUCACAGUCAAGAAACUCUAAAAUAUUAAACCACGUCAAAACCUUCAAACCUUUGCAAUGGUACCCUUCUUCUCAUCACAAUGAGCUUGUUCUUGCCUUCAAGGCAUGAGUCAACCCGUUAUUGCCCUUUUUUUUUUUUUCCCCUACUGGUUACUAUCUUCUCCAUAUCAUCUAUGUUCCAGUUGUUCACCUACCUCUUCAUGUUUUCUCUAUAACUUUCCCCUGUACAAAAACUGCUAGAACUGAUCACAAAGCUGGUACCUUUCAGAUCAUUCAGAAAGUAUUCUACCCCAGUUGCUUUACAAUUUUAAGACUAAGGGAACAUAUAAUAGCAAGGAAAAGCUCCAGGCAUAAACCUGGAACAAGAAGCACCAUAGCAAUUACAAACAAAUGAGCCAACGGAUAUUUAAAAUGUGAGAAACAAGCAGUGUGUGCAUGGAAACACAAGUAUUUCAGUCAGCCAUAGGUUUAUUUGUCAAUGUAGGGCAGAGCUAAAGCAUUACUAACAGGUUGUGUCAGGUAUUUGUGGAUUUUUAAAACAGCAUCAGCUUGAUUUGCCACUGAUUGGUCUGUUCACGUGUCCAAAGCCUAAACAUUUGUGUGAAUUAAGGUAAUGCUUGGGAACAGACUGUUCAUAGAAAUGUGCCUUAAAACUUUAGGUGACUAUAAUAUUCCAGAUGUGGCUAAUCACCACCUGACCAGUAUAGUUAUUUUAUAUCUGUUUUACUGUUCUGUUUUCUAACACCUGGCUUUCUUUUAUAGUGUUACAAUAGUGAGCAUUCAA